RNAcentral lists this ribosomal RNA (301 nucleotides) under uncultured bacterium. RNAcentral describes it as "partial 16S ribosomal RNA". It matches the Rfam family "Bacterial small subunit ribosomal RNA", at positions 509 to 807 of the family's 1533-position model. The record is from RNAcentral.
CAGCCGCCGCGGUAAUACGUAGGGUGCGAGCGUUAAUCGGAAUUACUGGGCGUAAAGCGUGCGCAGGCGGUUAUAUAAGACAGAUGUGAAAUCCCCGGGCUCAACCUGGGACCUGCAUUUGUGACUGUAUAGCUAGAGUACGGUAGAGGGGGAUGGAAUUCCGCGUGUAGCAGUGAAAUGCGUAGAUAUGCGGAGGAGCACCGAUGGCGAAGGCAAUCCCCUGGACCUGUACUGACGCUCAUGCACGAAAGCGUGGGGAGCAAACAGGAUUAGAUACCCGAGUAGUCCCUGUCUCUUAUAC